GCCGGGAUGGCGGAACUGGCAGACGCAGCAGACUCAAAAUCUGCCGACCUUCGGGUCGUGGGGGUUCGAUUCCCCCUCCCGGCACCA
This 87-nucleotide transfer RNA is filed under the name Acidobacteriota bacterium. RNAcentral describes it as "Acidobacteria bacterium tRNA-Leu". It matches the Rfam family "tRNA". Rfam says of the family: Transfer RNA (tRNA) molecules are approximately 80 nucleotides in length. Lineage: Bacteria; Pseudomonadati; Acidobacteriota. The record is from RNAcentral. RNAcentral also lists the same sequence under 2 other names.